This 388-nucleotide long non-coding RNA is filed under the name Felis catus (domestic cat). RNAcentral's name for it is "lncRNA (ENSFCAG00000049947.1)". The record is from RNAcentral. Lineage: Eukaryota; Metazoa; Chordata; Mammalia; Carnivora; Felidae.
UGUAUGACCUUGGACAAGAUACUGAACUUGGCUAAGUGGAUUGUCCUCAUCUAUAAAACGAGGACAUACUUUGCUGUCUGCCAGGAGACUUCAAGGCUUGAAUGAGGCAGCAUCUGUGGAGCUCUUUGUGAACUGCAAAGCCACUUGUACUGUAAAGUAUCAAUGAACUGCCCAUUCUACUCCCUAAUGACCAUGGCUGAGCGGAGGUUACAGAGCUAUUCUGAUUGGCCUCGCAGUGUCAUCCACUCGAUUGGUUGUAAGAAAGUAGGCUCAUUGUAAGAGAAAGAGGUGGCCUGGCAUGGAUGGCCUGCCAUUGCUGUACCUGGGAGACUUGUUCUACUCUCUGAAUUUGUUCCUAACCCUGGCCACCAAGGAUUUAUUACAGAGC